GACUGGCUCCUAAGGAAACACCACCCUGAGCGAGUGUCCCCUGCUUCCUGACUUUCCUGGGCCUCUUCCCCAGGGCAAACCACACGCCGGCCCGCAGCCCAGGGCGCCGGGUACACCGCACAGCCCCAAGGCCCCACCAAGCGCCACUUCCUCCCCGAAACCUCCGGUCUCUGCAGCAGCCCCCGCACCUGGUGCUUGAGCAUCUGAGGGCAACUCACAGGUGGAGUGAACGUCUACAUUAUGCUGAACUUCCAGAACCAGCUAGAGAUACAACAGCGACAGAGUCCUUCCUUCUGGUGAAGUGGACAGAUGAGCAGGCAGGCAACCUCUAUGGAGAGACAGACGCAGCUGAGAGAGUGAGUUCAGGGCACUAAGGGACCACCCGAGGGGAUGCUUGUCCUGGUCCCGAGUAGUCAGGGAGGUUUCCCAGAGAUGAAUGGUGAGGAUGUGGAAGAAAACUUUCCUCUGCCUUUCUAGGUUCUUCUGGCUGGUCUAAGAAUUAAAUUGACAUGAGACAGAUUAACAGGAGAAAAUCACAUUUAGUUUCAUAUAUACAGGAACCCCGCAUACAGGAGAAGGUCAGAGACCCACACAUACAUGAGAGGGUCAGAGACAGAAAGGUAAGAUGAGGUCUGUACGCCAUCCUGAGCUGAGGAAUGCCAUCAGGACCUGGGGUUUCCAAGAACGGGAGGGUCAUUCAUGUGGGGAUAAGAAGAAGAGCAGAUGUUAGGUAAUUAGAUGCGCUUUCCCUGACAUACAGAUAGGGCCACUUUGGUGAAAGGUAACUCUGGUAACAACUCUUUUUCUGGGAAAAAUCCACAAUUGAAAUUCUUCUAGGUAGUUAGGGAAGGGGCAGUAAUUUCUCUAGAACCCGCCGGGUAUCGAUUGCCUUUAGCUCAAAAUAAUCCUCAUGCAAAAGUGACACAUUUUGGGGCGGGGCGUUCAUUAUGAACCCCUACGAAAUGCACCCAUGUACUAGCAACUACAUAAAAAGCCCAGAAGAGUCUGUGCACCCCAGCAGCCCCAUCCAGUCACUGCCUCCCAAGGUUACUAUGUUAGUGAUGAUACUAGAUUAUUUUUGCCUGGUUUUGAACUUGAUAUAAAUGGAAUCACACGGAACGUGUUCUUCCAGCUCUGGCUUCUUUUGCUCAACAGUAUUUUGGUGCAACUCAUCCACACUGUUAAUAGCUGUAGUUCAUUCACUCCCGUUGCUGUCUUUAUU
This 1222-nucleotide long non-coding RNA is filed under the name Phocoena sinus (vaquita). RNAcentral's name for it is "lncRNA (ENSPSNG00000021890.1)". Lineage: Eukaryota; Metazoa; Chordata; Mammalia; Artiodactyla; Phocoenidae. The record is from RNAcentral.